UUCUAUGAGUGCUUAGAUGGAAAAUUCAAU
RNAcentral lists this non-coding RNA (30 nucleotides) under Rattus norvegicus (Norway rat). The record is from RNAcentral. Lineage: Eukaryota; Metazoa; Chordata; Mammalia; Rodentia; Muridae.